CGCUUACCAAGGCUACGAGUGGGGUAGGGGUCCUGAGGAGGGAGACUCCCCCACACUGGUAAAAAAAAAAAACUGAGACACGGACCAGACUCCGUACGGGGAGGCAGCGGUGAGGAAUAUUGGACAAUGGGCGCAAGCCUGAUCCAGCCAUGCCGCGUGCAGGAUGACGGUCCUAUGGAUUGUAAACUGCUUUUGUACAGGAAGAAACACUACUUCGUGAAGUAGCUUGACGGUACUGUAAGAAUAAGGAUCGGCUAACUCCGUG
This 265-nucleotide ribosomal RNA is filed under the name uncultured bacterium. RNAcentral's name for it is "partial 16S ribosomal RNA". It matches the Rfam family "Bacterial small subunit ribosomal RNA", at positions 262 to 507 of the family's 1533-position model. The record is from RNAcentral.